Molecule: long non-coding RNA, 273 nt
Filed under: Elaeis guineensis (African oil palm)
Lineage: Eukaryota; Viridiplantae; Streptophyta; Magnoliopsida; Arecales; Arecaceae
Description: long non-coding RNA (EGUI_LNC023363)
Source: RNAcentral
GUUAUCUCAUCCACCCUCACUAGCCCUUGUUUAGACCAUUUUUCAAUAGGAUUACAUUUGCACUAAAAGACUUUAAAUGUUUUAUUUUUAAAUUUGAAAAAUGAUGGAUUAAAGAAGAUGACUUAGAUUGAGUAGUGCUUGAAAAUUAGAGGAAAAUUGAGCUUGGUGAUUAUUCAAGUAAUUUUGUUGAUUGUUUGGAUUAAGAUAUGAUCCAUGUUAGGUUGCACAAGGAUAAAUAGAGAUCAUUUGCUUCAAUAUUUCAAUUCCUACUCU